Molecule: ribosomal RNA, 37 nt
Filed under: Amanita citrina
Lineage: Eukaryota; Fungi; Basidiomycota; Agaricomycetes; Agaricales; Amanitaceae
Description: 28S ribosomal RNA
Source: RNAcentral
UGACCUCCAAUCAGGUAGGACUACCCGCUGAACUUAA